UGUCUAUGAAAACUACAUUAC
Molecule: non-coding RNA, 21 nt
Filed under: Caenorhabditis elegans
Lineage: Eukaryota; Metazoa; Nematoda; Chromadorea; Rhabditida; Rhabditidae
Source: RNAcentral